GGAGAGAUUUAAGGUCCCGCUGACUUGAAAACCGAAGUGCUGGCAACGGCACCGUGGGUUCGAAUCCCUCUCUCUCCGCCA
RNAcentral lists this transfer RNA (81 nucleotides) under Puniceicoccales bacterium. Its description in RNAcentral is "tRNA-OTHER". Lineage: Bacteria; Pseudomonadati; Verrucomicrobiota; Opitutia; Puniceicoccales. The record is from RNAcentral.